CCCUACGGGGCGCAGCAGUGGGGAAUAUUGCACAAUGGGGGAAACCCUGAUGCAGCGACGCCGCGUGAGUGAAGAAGUAUUUCGGUAUGUAAAGCUCUAACAGCAGGGAAGAAAAUGACGGUACCUGACUAAGAAGCCCCGGCUAACUACGUGCCAGCAGCCGCGGUAAUACGUAGGGGGCAAGCGUUAUCCGGAUUUACUGGGUGUAAAGGGAGCGUAGACGGCAGCGCAAGUCUGAAGUGAAAGAUUGGGGCUCAACCCCAGGCCUGCAUUGGAAACUGUAAAGCUGGAGUACAGGAGAGGUA
This 305-nucleotide ribosomal RNA is filed under the name uncultured bacterium. RNAcentral's name for it is "bacterial SSU rRNA". It matches the Rfam family "Bacterial small subunit ribosomal RNA", at positions 337 to 659 of the family's 1533-position model. The record is from RNAcentral.